AGCCUGUUGCAAAAAUAGUAGGUUAUUCCUGCCCAUUGCAGUGUCUGUAAAAGGCCGCAGUACUUUGACUGUGCUAAGGUAGCGAAAUCAGUAGACUUUUAAAUGGAGCCCAGAAUGAAUGGAAAAACGGAAAUUUACUGUUUCUUUUUAUAAUUAAUAACUUUAUUAAAAGGUGAAAAUGCCUCUCAGAUAGAUGAAAGACGAGAAGACCCUGGGACCUUCAGGUAUUCCUUUUGUUGGGGCAACAGCAAAGAAGUCCUUUGCAUAUUGAAGUCUCGUCAAUUCAAGUUAGAAUAAGGUACCCCAGGGAUAACAGCAUAAUUAAGUUUUAGUUUAUGACCUCGAUGUUGGACUAGGAUUUCUACGGUUAGACGCCUCAAGAACACGUUCUGUUCGAACCUCUUCUCCU
RNAcentral lists this ribosomal RNA (409 nucleotides) under Pontohedyle sp. AB35081838. RNAcentral describes it as "partial 16S ribosomal RNA". It matches the Rfam family "Bacterial large subunit ribosomal RNA", at positions 1817 to 2596 of the family's 2925-position model. Lineage: Eukaryota; Metazoa; Mollusca; Gastropoda; Acochlidiacea; Microhedylidae. The record is from RNAcentral.